GUGCCUGUAACUCAAUGGAUAGAGUGCCAAACUACGGAUUUGGUGGUUGAGAGUUCGAAUCUUUCCAGGCAUA
Molecule: transfer RNA, 73 nt
Filed under: Chloropicon sp. RCC4434
Lineage: Eukaryota; Viridiplantae; Chlorophyta; Chloropicophyceae; Chloropicales; Chloropicaceae
Description: tRNA-Arg
Rfam family: tRNA
About the family: Transfer RNA (tRNA) molecules are approximately 80 nucleotides in length. Their secondary structure includes four short double-helical elements and three loops (D, anti-codon, and T loops).
Source: RNAcentral